CCAUGUGACUGCUGCAACAUGGAGGCUUCAGGUUAGCUGGAGUUCUUACAGGUUGGCUCAGGGCUCCCAAGAUUCACAUAUCCCAAGAGAGAAAAGGAGAUGCAGGCAGAACUUAUGACACAGUCUGGGGAAUCAAGCAACUGUAUUUCUGCCACAUUCUGUAGUGAGUGAAGUCGCUCAGUAGCCUCCAACUCUUUGCAACCCCAUGGACUAUAGCCCACCAGGCUCCUCCAUCCNNNNNNNNNNNNNNNNNNNNNNNNNNNNNNNNNNNNNNNNNNNCUUCUCCAGGGGAUCUUCCCAACCCAGGGAUUGAACCUGGGUCUCCCACUUUGCAGGCAGAUGCUUUACCAUCAGGGCCACUAGGGAAGCCACAUUCUGUAGGUCUGCACUACUACAAAAGUCCAUCCAUGCUCGAGGAGAAGAAACGUAAAGCCUACCUCUCAAUGCAGGAACAUCAAAUGUGUUAUAACAUGUCACAGGUGGAUGUGUGGUACGGAAUACACAUUGAUGCAGCUGUCUAGGAAACACAGUCAGCCACAGCUUGUCUAGUGGUUCUUGAUGACAGGUUGGCCCAAAAUAAGCUAGAAUUUCACUUCCAAGCACACAGAUUCCCUUCUCCAUUCAUUUGGGGUGUUCUCUAAUCAUGGUAAGACUGCCAUACGUUUGAAUGAAGGAGAGGUCUGCUUUGGAGUCUUCUCUAAGCUCAGAUGAAGCCGUCGUCCAUGUAGGCAGCACUCAUCACAUCAACACUGGGCAUACCUUCCCUGAGGCGCACUGAAAGUUCAGGCACCGUUUUGGCAAGGUUUUGGCUACCUGACCUUCAGAGCCUGAGUCUCCUGCUACCCAGUCAGACUCACCCCUCAGGCUUUCUCCAAGCCCAACACAGCAAAGAAAAUCCAUACCACUUUCCAUGGUCUAUUCUACUUUCACUCUAUUUUCAAAGACUCUUUUGUAAAAACUCUGGUCCUACAGGAUGUGAAUUUUAUUUUUUAAAAAAUUCAGAGCACUUCACAUAUUUCGCCCUCUUCCAGGUUCAUAAUGCAUAUUAAUAUACAGCCUCUGAAAAGUACUACAGUGAUGUAAUCUAUUUAACUUUGUCUCACCCCCAUGUCUCAUGAGUUUGUUUAAUGAUGGAAAGUUGGUUUGGGGGAAGUUAUCUUUUUAUUAACAGGAUGCCAAUUAACAGUCCAUAAACACAGUGUAGAAUAUGUCCACAUUGCACAGAGCAUCCUCAGACUUUUGAUUCCAUCUCUGCUCUUGUGGGAUUGUAGAACCAAGUUGUUCAUAAUAAAAUAUUCUGUCUCAAAUUGCCCAGUGGGAGUGAGGUCAUGGCUGAUCACUCUUUUGCUCAGUGGGAUGCAUUUCUGGGUGUUCCAAAGCAAAGAUGGACCGUGUACCAUUUUCCAAAUUAGGCUGAUGGAUGCAUCAACCUUUUCUACCUGCCAGUAACACCACAAGAAGUUUUUAGAAAGCUUGUGUUUACUGUCUGCAAUACACACGGGGCCAUUAGCCAGCUGGCCGGCCUUAUGCAAGUUUCAUUGCUGCCAACUUGCAGUGAGCUGCCCACUCC
Molecule: long non-coding RNA, 1570 nt
Filed under: Capra hircus (goat)
Lineage: Eukaryota; Metazoa; Chordata; Mammalia; Artiodactyla; Bovidae
Description: lncRNA (ENSCHIG00010012256.1)
Source: RNAcentral